Phascolarctos cinereus (koala) is the source of this 1499-nucleotide non-coding RNA. The record is from RefSeq and is a predicted model, not a curated record. NCBI's taxonomy places the organism in Eukaryota, Metazoa, Chordata, Mammalia, Diprotodontia, Phascolarctidae.
AUCAUCACCACAACUCCCCAUUUCAGAAAUGUAUACACAAAAAAAUAGCAAUGCACUGCGUGAUCUAGGGCCAUCUCCUCUCAAAAUCACUGCACCAUGGAGCCGAGACCACCCUCCUGAACAGCUGGGUUUAAAUCCUAGGUCUGACACUACCUGUCCAACACUGGGCCCAUCGGACCCAAAGACCACAAAGUGAAGUUCUAUCAUUCAUUUCUCCCAACAGAUCUGUCCCAACCUGAGCUUUGAGCAACCCUCCAGGUGCCUCUUUCCAUACCUUCCAUGAUGGGAUCCUGCAAGGAUUCCUCUGUUUCAAAUAUGGCAAGUACUCUGAAGUGGAAAGCAGGCUACAGCUCAGAACUAAGAGCCCCUGGGGUCUGGGUGAGACAGCUCCCAGGUCCACAGCUCCCAAAGGAUCUUCUCCUCAAGCAAGACUGGACAAGAGGGCCAACUUUGCAACGGAGCUUUGAAAAGUGGCAGAUACCGACUCUGAGGCAGGUGCCUCUCAAGUUACCAAUGACAAGAAUGCUACACUUGGAGGCCAAGGACCCAGUUUCAAAUUCCAAUCUUGCCAUUAAUUUAUCACCUAUGUUACCAGGGCAAGUCAUUUAAACUCUCCAGGGCUUCACUUUCCUCAUCUGUAAAAGGGGGAUGGAGGAGUCAUACUUAAUCUAAGGACCUUUCCACCUCUCAAUCUAUGGCCUCUUCUAGGGGAUCCCAGGUAGUCCACCAGCUACCCCUGCUCUUUCUAAGUCCUUCUCCCUAGUGCCUAAAUGGAAGAAGAUUUAGGCACAUACUUCAUUCACCCUGCAGGUCACCACAGAAUUUCUUCAUUUAGUCUUUUGUAUUUACAGUACUAUAUGAUCACCCUGCAAACAGCUAGCUACCUGCCUACUGACCCAAGGAAUCAAGGAUUUCAACCAGGCAAGUGGAAUCAUAUAGAAUCUGAGGUGAAAACUAGUAGAAAACAGGGAUGGGGUUGGUGUGUCCUCUGGCAAGGCUAUCCUAGGCACACAUCUGUCUAAUAAGCCCUCAUCUCUGUCUGGAACAAUAAGAUCUCAUUGCCACAUACCCUGGCUCUCUGAGAGCUGAUUUAGUAUUUCUAAAUGGAUGUUCUAAGUCAGCCCUAGGAACACAACCUCUACAUAGCAGGAAGAGCUAGAAAGAAAAUGAACUGCGUGUCUUCAAGUCUAAAACUUCCUUUCUCCAGAGCCCCAGACUCAGCUGCAAAUCACAGGCAAUCAUCAACCCCUACACCUGUGUGGUAGGAGUUGGGAAGGCAAGAGGCCAGAACUUGUACAACAAAAGCUCUCAAAUUUUCUCACCCUUCCCCCGGGGAAAGUCCCUACCCCCGGAACACACGCCUCUAUCCACAGCUGGGAGAACAGCCAGUCAACCCCCAUGCAGCUAGACCUGCAAGGGGCAGAAACUACUACCCAAGCUAGUUUUUCCAAAUGUCUUCUAGUAGAACGGAAGCUCCUUAGGGGCAGGCUUGUCUUUGU